AGUGAACGCUGGCGGCGUGCUUAACACAUGCAAGUCGAACAAGAACGGAUUAUAGCUUGCUAUAAUUGUCAGCUAAGUGGCGCACGGGUGAGUAAUGUAUAGGUAAUAUGCCUCUUACUAAGGGAUAACAAAUGGAAACGUUUGCUAAUACCUUAUACUCCUUAUUAACAUAAGUUAAUAAGGGAAAGAUUUAUUGGUAAGAGAUUAGCCUGUAUUGUAUCAGUUAGUUGGUGGGGUAAUGGCUUACCAAAACUAUGACACAUAACUGGUUUGAGAGGAUGAUCAGUCACACUGGAACUGAGACACGGUCCAGACUCCUACGGGAGGCAGCAGUGGUGAAUAUUUCACAAUGGACGAAAGUCUGAUGCAGCAACGCCGCGUGGAGGAUGACACAUUUCGGUGCGUAAACUCCUUUUAUAUGAGAAGAUAAUGACGGUAUUAUAUGAAUAGGCACCGGCUAACUCCGUGCCAGCCGCCGCGGUAA
Molecule: ribosomal RNA, 484 nt
Filed under: uncultured bacterium
Lineage: Bacteria
Description: partial 16S ribosomal RNA
Rfam family: Bacterial small subunit ribosomal RNA
Source: RNAcentral